Durio zibethinus is the source of this 2782-nucleotide non-coding RNA. The record is from RefSeq and is a predicted model, not a curated record. Lineage: Eukaryota; Viridiplantae; Streptophyta; Magnoliopsida; Malvales; Malvaceae.
UAUGAUUCUACAAAUUUUGUCUUUUUAAUUUUUUUUUAAUUUUCAGGGCGCAUUGCUUAUUGUCGCGUAUUUUCACGGCGGCUCGUUUUUUUUUUUUUAUUAAGCUCAUCAAUUAAGAUUUGAUUAAUUACUUAAUCUGUAAUAAAUGAUCCAUUAUGAGCUUUCACAUUUCUAGCUGCUCAAUCAUUUUUUUUUUCUUGCAAAUAGGUCCUUCCGGAGGCGUAAAGGAACCUGUUACCAGAGUUGAAGGUGAUUUUUCUUGCACAUUUGAGGUUCGGCGGGCAAUUUCUAUUUUGAAGAAAGCAUAUGGUGAUAGCAUGCAUAAAGUUUUGCAUGCUGGUGUGGAGCCGUAUGCUGAUACUAACUGCAAAUGACUAGUGCAUAAUGGCAUUGUGCGUUUGUCUGACAUCAAAUUUCCUCUUCCAUACUGGCUGAAAUCUUUCCCUCUUGUAAUUGUUUCGGAUGCAUUGAUUACUUGUCUCCAAGAUAUCUCAACAAGACACUUCCAGAUUUUGCAAGGGUAUUGGCUGAUGGAGUUGUAAUAUUUACAGGUUUACUAGGUCAGAAGGAAAGCUAAAGCUGCAGAGGUGUCAAAAUAUGGAAGGGCGGUAAGUGGCUAUCAGUUUGUUCCUUUAUUACUGCUUGAUAUAAAUUGUUAAGCCUUGACAAUCAACAGGAACAUGGACACUGUCGCUACCCUUUUUUGUUGGAUAGCCUCUGGCCUGUUAAAUGAAUGUUGUCAAGUAGAACUUUCUAUGGUCAGUUGUCAGACUUGAAACUUUGAAUGCACUUCAAUGAGAUAGACUAUCUAGUCAAUGGUUUAAAGUCUGUCAAAUUCCAGUCUAUCUAAGGGGAAAGAAUUGUUUGGCUGUGGGUUGGUUAAGCAGGCUAAAUUGAUCAGGAGCUCGUCUUGGUGGGCACGAUACUUUGUCCAGACUAGCUCAGAAGAAAAUGAAGUUGCAGCCAAAAAGUUCAAUCAGGCGCAGAAAAGAACUCAUAUAGCCCCAGGUGCCAAAAUUUUCACCUAAGGUCAUAUCACUGAUUCCUUUACUUAGUAAUUUCUUCAUCGUUAGGGAGUUCCAUAGUGCAACUGAUUAAAUGUUUAGUAGAAUAGUUUAAAUUUUGGUAUAAAAUAUUUAUUUGGCUUUCAUUAGCCUACUUUUGAAUUCCAUCCGAUAUAUAUGAUGCAUUCUUUAAUUGAUAUUAUUUUGAAUCACAACAUUUCUCUGGUAUUAGCUGCAACAAGCUAGCUGAAAUGCGUGGUAGCCUUUUUUGCUCCAUUGAUAAUUGUAACUCAUGGUUCUUGCAAACCACUUAGAUUUAGAAGAACUAUUGAUUUUUCCCCACCAACAAGAAAAGACAGGUGUUCCUAAUUUAUUUUUACCUUUGUUUCAAUUACUGCAACAUGUGGCCCAAGUUAUCAGUUGGGCUUCCGGUACUGUAAUAUUUUCUUUCAUGUCUAGAGCAGCAAAGAAUGUUUUAUCCCUAGCUAUAUCACCUCACUUCUUGUGGUUGUUGUCUGCUCACUGCUUAGUGCCAAUGAGGCUUCUGUAAAGUUACCUAGAAACUGAUAGAAAGGUCUGCUCGGGUGGUCCAUUAUUGGUCCUAGCUACGGAUGGAAUAAGACCUUGAUGCAUGUCUGAUAUUUGAUAUAAACCGAGACCAAUAUCCCAGUGAUGAUGUUCCCCUUAUCCUGUCCAUCAUUGUCGAAACCGUACCAGACCUAAAUCGGGUCAGUGUCAUUAAACAUGUUCUUGAUGACUUAUUUUUGCUUAAAUUUUCAUGUUUUCAGUCAAUUUAUGCUUUUAAAACACUGCAAUCUCAAUCCUACAAGAUUCAAGUGGCUGCCAUUGUUUCCAAGUGAAGGGUUGAGUAAUUGUUUUCCCUAUCUCAAUAAAAAUCUCGUUUCCUGCUUUAAGCUGAUUCCAUUUCUUUGAAAGCAGAAGAGCUUCAGCGUUUUAUUUUGCUUAGACAUUGAGCUGAGUAUGAAAGGGUGAGUUUAUAAUAUUUGAUUGAUAGUCGAGUAUCUCAGAUAAUUUUUUAUUGAUAUAAGAUCGGGCCAAAUCCCAAGCAAUGAAAACGAAAUAUGGCAGUGAUUUCUUAAGUUCAGCUGUACGUUCAUGCUUGAUACCGACUUCACAAUUAUCCUAUAUUCAUAUAUAUCUGAAUGAUGCUUAUUUCCAAGCUGUAAAUGUAAAAGACAAAAGAGUACUUAAAAAAGGAAUCCCAAGAAUGCAGAAAAAUUGAAGUUAUAUAGCUAGCAGUACUGCAAUAGAAAGAUAGAUAUCACUUUCAAUACGGCCUGGACUGUUCCCUCAUGUGAAAUGCCAAAGAUAAGGACAAUUUUAUCGAUGGCCCUUCUUUGUUUGCUUCUCCUUACAAAAACCAAAUAAUUAGAACUUUCCCACCAAAGUCACCCCAACUAAAAAUCUUUGACUAAUUGGGUGAACAAAGCGUGCCUUCAGCGGCAGUUUGUCUCCCUCAUAAGUGAGUGAAAGGACUAAAGUUAUGUUCAAUGGUCUAAUAUUACCAGAGAAUAGACGACAAUUUUCGAAGGGACCUAAGUUUCAUUGUUUCUGUGUUGGUGUCCUCUAAGGCAGCUUCAGCUUUAAUUUUCCCACCUAGAUUGUGAUUUUAUAGGACUUAAACUUACACUUUCUCAGAAAUUCCCUCUUCUUCUUCUUAUUCUCUUACUGGCUUAGUUUUUGCACUUAAUUCGUCCAAAAAUGGUGUAUCAAUCCAUUAACAGGCUUGCUAAUCUUGUUUAUUGCCUGUCUAUAUG